Molecule: long non-coding RNA, 1019 nt
Organism: Juglans microcarpa x Juglans regia
Lineage: Eukaryota; Viridiplantae; Streptophyta; Magnoliopsida; Fagales; Juglandaceae
Exons: 2
Source: RefSeq, a predicted model, not a curated record
UCAAAGAAGAAAGGGGCAUUUGUCACUCCCAUGACAGAAACACUCUAUGUGCGUGCUCUCUAACUUACCAACUUUGCACUAUGUUGUUCCAUUCAUAGAUAACUAAAUAAAGAGUUUAGUUAUUUCCCCAAAUAGUAUAAAUGAUAUAAAAUAUAUUUUGGCAUCAAAAUACAAUGAUUGAGAAGUUAGAUGAGAUGGAGCUUGAGGAGCGCACAGAUGAGGCUGCAAUAAUUAUAUUCAGAGAUGUGCUAGGACGCAAAUCUGGUUAUGCAAGAGGACUUGGUGGUUUAGUUAUACCCGAGCCUAGACCGUCAUCUAUGUCGGCACAAGUUGAGCACCUAACCCAAGAAAAUGAGAAACAUAAAAAUGAGGCAAUGAUGUACAAGACCGAAUUGGAUGACCUGAAAAGGGAAGUACGACAAUUAUUGGUUUGGCAACAAUUGUAUAACCAGAGGAUGAACCUACCUGACAGUGAUUUUGAAAGAGUGUCUAAUAGACACUCUAGAAAAUAUUUAGUUGGAUGGGCUUUUAAACUGGGAUUUUUUGAUAUUUUUCUAACUUUUGCUGGCAAGCACAUAUUUUAUUUAUUAGUUGUCUAGAAAAUGGUGCAGGAUUUUGACGUUAGUUGUACUUGCUGUAUGUUGCUUGGUGGAAUUAUAAAAAGUCCUGGGCUACAAUAUUUUGGUGGGAUUACUUUGUUAAAGGUUAUGAGAAAACUUUGUAGACAUAAGCUCUCAUAUGUUGAUAUCAGCCAAGUGGAAUUUUUUGAUACACCAAUGAGCCUGUUGGAUGCUAAAUAUAUGGAUUCACUCCCAGGUUUAAAUUAAUCUAUAGGGUUUAAAUUAAUGUAUAGCCAUGUUGACAACAAUUCCAAUGAGACGCACAUAUUCUUCAUGUGUUUAGUGGCAGUAGAUGUUUUCAGGAAUUUAAGCAAUUGCAUGACAAUUAGAAGAAACCUGCUAUAAUGUAUGAUGUGAAAGUAAAUGAAAUGUUCACAUUCAAGGUUAUUUAUAUGAAAA